UCAAAGGCUCUUUUCAGAGCCACCACUUCUCCUAAGAGAGCUGUAG
This is a non-coding RNA of Mus musculus (house mouse), 46 nucleotides long. The record is from Rfam. Lineage: Eukaryota; Metazoa; Chordata; Mammalia; Rodentia; Muridae.